RNAcentral lists this ribosomal RNA (1368 nucleotides) under Acinetobacter sp. RNAcentral's name for it is "bacterial SSU rRNA". It matches the Rfam family "Bacterial small subunit ribosomal RNA". Lineage: Bacteria; Pseudomonadati; Pseudomonadota; Gammaproteobacteria; Moraxellales; Moraxellaceae. The record is from RNAcentral.
GGGCAUUGCGCGGCUUACAAUGCAGUCGAGCGGAGAAAGUAGCUUGGUACUUUACCUAGCGGCGGACGGGUGAGUGUGCUUAUGAAUCUGCCUAUUGUGGGGGACAACAUCUCCGAAGGGACGCUAAUACCGCAUACGUCCUACGGGAGAAAGCAGGGGACCUUCUGGCCUUGGGCUUUUAGAUGACCCUUACUCAGAUUACCUAGUUGGUGGGGUAAAGGCCUACCAAGGCGACGAUCUGUAGCGGGUCUGAGAGGAUGAUCCGCCACACUGGGACUGAAACACGGCCCUGACUCCUACGGGAGGCUCCAGUGGGGAAUAUUGGACAAUGGGCGGAACCCUGAUCCAACCGUGCCACGGGUGUGAACAACGCCUUUUGGUUGUAAAGCACUUUAAGCGAGGACGAGGCUACCGAAAUAAAUACUCUUGGAUAGUGAACGUUACUCCUUGAAUAAGCACCGGCUAACUCUGUGCCAUCAGCCCCGGUCAUACACAGGGUGCAUGCGUUAGUCGGAUUUACUGGCCGUAAAUCGCGCGUAGGUGGCCCAUUAAGUCAAAUGCGAAAUCCCCAAGCUUAACUUGCCAAUUGCAUUCGAUACUGGCUGUCUAGACUAUGGAACAUGAUGGUAGAAUUCGAGGUGGAACGUCCAAAUGCAUAGAGAUCUGGAGGAAUACCGAUGGCGAAGGCAGCCAUCUGGCCUAAUACUGACGCUGAGGUGCGAAAGCAAGGCGAGCAAACAUGAUUAGAUACCCUGAUAGUCCAUGCCGUAAACCAUGUCUACAAGCCAUUGGUGCCUUUGAGGCUUUAGUGCCGCACCUAACGCGCUAAGUAGACCGCCUGGGCAGUACGGUCGCAGACUCAGACUCAAUGAGUAGACUCGGAGCACUUACAAGCGGUGCAGCAAGUGGGUUGAAUUCUGUGCAUCACUUAGAACCUUACCCUGAUAUCGAUAUCAUGUCAUGUCUUCAUAUGUGGAUUGUUGCCAUCGGGCAUCUUACAUACAGGUGCUACUGGCCUGUCGUCAACUCUGUCGUCAGAUGUGUGUGAGUCCUGCGACUAGCUCCAGCCAUUUUGCGUUAUCUGUCGACGUUAUUAGCAGGGAUCUUUUAGGAUACUGCCAGUGACUACUGUAGCAGGCCGGGAACACGUGCGAGAUCGAUCAUCGACCUUACCGUCCAGUCUUGACCUGUGCUACAUGUCGUACAUAGGUGCUACUGCACGGAGAUGCUAGGUCUCAACAGCUCCACUCGAAAUUCGUGAAUCGCUAGUAAUCGCGGAUCAGAAUGCCGCGGUGAAUACGUUCCCGGGCCUUGUACACACCGCCCGUCACACCAUGGGAGUUGUGCACCAGAAGUAGGUAGUCUAAC